This 253-nucleotide ribosomal RNA is filed under the name uncultured bacterium. RNAcentral's name for it is "partial 16S ribosomal RNA". It matches the Rfam family "Bacterial small subunit ribosomal RNA", at positions 524 to 776 of the family's 1533-position model. The record is from RNAcentral.
UACGUAGGUGGCAAGCGUUGUCCGGAUUUAUUGGGUUUAAAGGGUGCGUAGGCGGUCAAGUAAGUCAGCGGUGAAAUCCGGCAGCUCAACUGUCGAUGUGCCAUUGAUACUGCAUGACUUGAGUACUGAUGAGGUAGGCGGAAUUGACGGUGUAGCGGUGAAAUGCUUAGAUAUCGUCAAGAACACCGAUAGCGAAGGCAGCUUACUAAGCAGUAACUGACGCUGAUGCACGAAAGUGUGGGGAUCAAACAGG